AUUUUUGUUUUAUUUUAUAGUGGUCACUGGGUGUUGGUUGCUAUGGAUCUUUCGAGACUAAUUGUAUAUUAUCUCGAUUCAUUAUCGGGUGAUUGGAGUAAAUAUCCGAGUAUGAAGAAGACGGUUGACGCGUAAGUGAAAUUCCCCUAAAUAUUCGUGUGUAUUUGUAUAUUUAAUUAUGUCUGUCAGAUUGAUCUCAAUAUACGUUUUUAUUUUGUUAGGGCAAUACUAAAAUUUAGAUCGAAAAAGAAUUACCACAAUAGGAAGGACAUUACCUGGGUCAGAGUUCAGUGUCCUCAGCAAAAUAAUUCGGUCGAUUGCGGAUUUUUUGUAUUGAGAUUUAUGAGAGAUAUCAUUGCGUUGAAUCGUAUAGACAUCCCAAAAAUGUACUUUGAGGAAUACAAAUCUUACUCAAGAGCUCAUUUGGAUGAAAUGAAGGAUGAAUUGUGUCAAUUCAUUGUUGAUCAAAGAAUCAUAUAGCUAGGUUGUAUAUUGUUGUACAUAUAUGUAUGGAAUGUUGUUGUUGUAUGCUGUUGUUGUAUAUAUGGUGUAUAUUGUUGUUGUACUUUUACUAAAUCAUGAAUAUGUUGUUGUAUAUUGUUGAUCAAAGAAUCAUAUAUUAAUGUUGUAUAUA
Molecule: long non-coding RNA, 634 nt
Organism: Lathyrus oleraceus (garden pea)
Lineage: Eukaryota; Viridiplantae; Streptophyta; Magnoliopsida; Fabales; Fabaceae
Exons: 3
Source: RefSeq, a predicted model, not a curated record